AACGUAGGAGACGAACGUUAUCCGGAGUUACUGGGCGUAAAGGGCGUGCAGGCGGCCUGAUAAGUCCGGCGUGAAAUCUUUCGGCUUAACCGGGGGAUGUCGUCGGAGACUGUCGGGCUAGAGGGUGAUAGAGGCGUGUGGAAUUCCGGGUGUAGUGGUGAAAUGCGUAGAGAUCCGGAGGAAUACCAGUGGCGAAGGCGACACGCUGGGUCAUACCUGACGCUAAUACGCGACAGCAUGGGGAGCAAACGGG
Molecule: ribosomal RNA, 253 nt
Filed under: uncultured bacterium
Lineage: Bacteria
Description: partial 16S ribosomal RNA
Rfam family: Bacterial small subunit ribosomal RNA
Source: RNAcentral